Long non-coding RNA from Suricata suricatta (meerkat), 703 nucleotides. RefSeq lists it as uncharacterized. Lineage: Eukaryota; Metazoa; Chordata; Mammalia; Carnivora; Herpestidae. The transcript is spliced from 4 exons. The record is from RefSeq and is a predicted model, not a curated record.
ACGUGCUUGAGUCUAGUACUCCUCUUCGGAUUAUAACAAACCCCUAACGCGGAAAGACUCGCUUCUCUUUGUUUAUGACUCCUGUGGAGUUAAUUUUGCUACAUUGAUGGAAGUUCAAAGAAGUAAACCUUCAAUGAACACUUUCACUUUCUUUAGACAUAUUUUUCUGUAACAGUAGUCACUAGAUCCUGGUAUCCUGCAUUUGAGGAAUGACCACUCUAGUCUGGACCCACUAUUUGAAAACUCUAUGGAUUUGCUAAGCAAUUUUUCUUCAUCUUAAUCUUAUAAAAACGCCCUGAAGCAUAAUUGAAUUCCUUGCUCAGCAAUCGUGCAACACUCAAUAAGGGCGCAAAGUGAACAAUUGACUUCAUAAUUUACCAGGGAAGAACAUUAUUAGCAUGGUUCUCCAUCCACCACAACAAUAUUUAUAAUUGUCAAGGAAAUGAAGUCUUGCCUCUUGAUGUACCUUCGGAAAGCUCAGCAGCAUAUUUCUCUUACUUUGGAAAAAAGGAAACAAUUCCUGAAGAAGCGGGAGGCGAAAGAGAGGGAAACAGGAGGAAGAAGAAGAAGAAGAAAAGAACAAGUAGCAUGUUGUAGAACUCAAAGGUGGUACUGAAUGCCAGCUAUCAGAUGUGAAGAAUAUCUCAUUGAUUAUUUGGAAGGGGAAAACCUGUCCCUUAUACAUUAAAAAUGAGAAAAAUAU